GAAUAUAAUUAAUUUUAGGAAUUAAAAAUAAAUAAUGUCCUUAGAGUAGUUUUAUAUUAGGUGUCCUAACAUUAUUAUUGGUUCAUUAUAAUUCUGAAACGAUUAUUUUUUGUAUUUUUAUUUAAUUAUGGAAAUUGGCUCAUAACUGGCUUAAAACUUUUUUCACACGUUUAUUAAGGCCAUCUGAUCUGUAUUCCAUGAUAAUUAAUAUAAAUUAACAGAGAUUUCAAAAAGUUCCCCUAAAUGAAGAAUCACCAAAACAUCUCGUGCAGACUUUUUGCAAAACUAAAACAAAACAGUAAAAAACAAUACGUUUUGUUAAUAAUGUAAUCAAAACUUUGUGUGUCUAUUGAAUCUGACUUGCUUGUACCAAAUGAAAUUUGUUAAUACUGAAUGAAAGCAAAUAUAUCUUUAUUUUGUGAUCAAAUUGUGCGAAAAUGUAGUCAUCUCCAGAUUAUGUAAAACUCAAAUCACGUCUAGCCUAAAAAUAGAGCGUUCGCGAUAUCCCUCAAAGUGAGACAUCACAGCGGUUCUGGAUUCUGGGGGGAAAAAAGAUGAAGCAUCUGAAAAGGUGGCUCGGAUCGGUGGGGGAAAAGCAUGUUGGACUCGUCGCCUCCGUGGCAUGGGAGACUACCAAAUCAGAGACUGCAAGACUAAGAGAUCACGCCUUGAGUCCGCCUUGUGAUGCAGUCUCCAUGGCGACUACAGUUUCCUGGGAAUCAGCCUGGACGUCUGUUGUUUGCUGACGAUGGAUAUUAGGCUAAUAUGAAUGAAGACAACAGGAUUUAGAAGGCUUCGGGGGAGAUCCACACAGUGCCUAGGACUGACGACCAAUAGAAACGGAGGCCGUUAACCUUUCUGCUACAAAACAGAACUGAACUCACCUUCAAACGACAAAGAAGAUGCCCGCUUAUCUCUACUGCCAAUUUCCAUUUACAUCUGACUGAAUCACCGUGAACCGCAACACUCCAGAAGUGGCCUUUGUUGGGUGAAUUCUGCAGGUUCACAUUUAAUACGAAGAAAGCAAUACGAAGAAAACUGAACUGUUGGACUUGAACUGUUGGAUCAUCUAAGAGACCACUGCCAGAUAUUAAUCGAGCUGUUUUCUGGUGUCCAUCAUGUAUUUACAGUUUAGCUGUUGUUGUGCGAGAUGUGAGAACUGUGGAAACCAAAUCUUUCUUGCUCUUUGACCAUAUAAAUAGUCUGAAAGAUA
Molecule: long non-coding RNA, 1213 nt
Organism: Carassius auratus (goldfish)
Lineage: Eukaryota; Metazoa; Chordata; Actinopteri; Cypriniformes; Cyprinidae
Exons: 3
Source: RefSeq, a predicted model, not a curated record